CGGGGGGAGCAAGCGUUGUUCGGAUUUACUGGGCGUAAAGGGCGCGUAGGCGGCACCGCAAGUCGACUGUGAAAUCUCCGGGCUUAACUCGGAAAGGUCAGCCGAUACUGCGGGGCUAGAGUGCAGAAGGGGCAACUGGAAUUCUCGGUGUAGCGGUGAAAUGCGUAGAUAUCGAGAGGAACACCUGCGGCGAAGGCGGGUUGCUGGGCUGACACUGACGCUGAUGCGCGAAAGCUAGGGGAGCGAACGGGAUUAGAUACCCCGGUAGUCCUAGCCUUAGACGAUGAAUGCUUGGUGUCUGGGGUUUUAUAGUCCCCGGGUGCCGUCGCUAACGCUUUAAGCAUUCCGCCUGGGGAGUACGGUCGCAAGACUG
Molecule: ribosomal RNA, 373 nt
Filed under: uncultured organism
Description: bacterial SSU rRNA
Rfam family: Bacterial small subunit ribosomal RNA
Source: RNAcentral